CACAUACACCUCUGUAUGAAACAGAAACAGCAAUUUCUUGCCAUGGAUUUUGAAGCUCUGAUUGAAAAUUACUCCUUCCACAAGGGCAUGAUACCUUUAUUGUAGUAGCGGGGUUCACGGUAAAACUUGAUGGCCUGUUUUGACUAUAGAUGCACUGACAUUGGUGCAGAUUGUGAGGAACUGUAACUGGCUAAAAACCUGUUUUAAGAGAGUGGAGGAAAAGAACUAUUCCAAAGUUGUGUUUUAAUUUACCUCUUUGUAGAACAACUCAAAGAGGGGACUGAUUCAAACAGCUUCUGGUAUUUUUGUCUUCCAGAUUCUGAGGACAAAACCUGUUGAUAAUGAAUUGUUCCAGAAGCACACGGAGAAAAUUGUACCUUGUGGAGGCUGUUUUGUCUGAGACCCCUUUUAAGAACUGAAAGACCACACAACAAGGUCUCCCCUUAAGGAGCCUUCUCUUCUCUGGGUUGAACAACCCCAACUCUCUCAGCCUGGCUUCAUUUGAGGGCUAUUUGCUUGUGCCAGAGGAACAUUGCCCUCAUCUCUAACUCAGUAGCUCUUUUCAGUCCAGCUAAAGAAAGCACAGAAGGGAAGGGAUGUGUGAAGUACCAUCAUCAGCAUAGCAAGUCCUGGCAGUGGUGGUUUGUCAUGUCAUUCGUUUCAUCCCAGAUGACCCAAGUGUCUUUUCUUGCCUGCUUAUGUGAAGCCACCGCAGACCUUCUCAUCAUACUGAAUUCCAUCUGGGGAGGCUUUGACCGUUUCUUGCAUGUUGUCAGUUUGAAGAUGACAGAAUUGUUUGGUGAGAAAACCUUUAAUGCAAGAGGUUGGGAAAGUUGGGUCUUUCAUAAAACCCAAGUAAAACUCGAGGAAGAAUCUCCCAAGUUCAGUGUAUUGAUUUCCUCAUCAAAGUUCAAGAGCUGUGUUUCAUGGCAGGCUGAAACUCAUCUCAACUCCUUAUGACCAGCUGAGCAAGAGAGAUGGGAUUUGAUGCUAUCCAAGGUGUAAUUCCACAGUUCAUGUCUUUUGCUAGUGCCAGCUUAAUAAGUUUCUGCCUACUCCCAGCCGUUCAUUUUCAGCUCAGCAGCAGUGCGGUGCUGUCUCUUCCCUGACUGUGUGGAAAACCAGAUGACUGCAAAUAGCCUCAGUCAAGGAAAGGAGCACUUGUGAGGUUUUUCUUUUGAAUUGGAAUGAUUUGGAUGACCUUGCGCACAGCACAGCCCAUGGGCAGUUGUGUCAGUAGAACUGAAGGUGAUGCUGACUGCAGCAUCAGAGGCAGCAGCGAAUGCUGGAGGCUGUCCCAGUGUUGCUGUCAACAGAGAUCUGCUCUGGGACCAUACCCUGGCUGAAGGGCUUUCACUAUCCACAGUCUUACUUAUUGAGCUACUGCUUUUCAUUUCAUUUCGUUUUAUUAAGAAGGAUUAACAUCUUGCUUGGGCAGGUUUGAGGGGUUUUUUUCUCCUUCAGGAGAUAAGCCAUGUCUGUGAGCAGUCAGUCAGCUUUGUGGACAGCCAUGAAUGUCAAUAAAGUCCUGGCAAACGCAGGA
This is a long non-coding RNA of Pezoporus flaviventris, 1543 nucleotides long. RefSeq lists it as uncharacterized. The transcript is spliced from 2 exons. NCBI's taxonomy places the organism in Eukaryota, Metazoa, Chordata, Aves, Psittaciformes, Psittacidae. The record is from RefSeq and is a predicted model, not a curated record.